AAGGAAUAUUGGUCAAUGGACGCAAGUCUGAACCAGCCAUGCCGCGUGAAGGAUGAAGGUCCUCUGGAUUGUAAACUUCUUUUAUCUGGGACGAAAACGGGAUUUUUAUCUCAAUUGACGGUACCAGAGGAAUAAGCACCGGCUAACUCCGUGCCAGCAGCCGCGGUAAUACGGAGGGUGCGAGCGUUAUCCGGAUUUACUGGGUUUAAAGGGUGCGUAGGUGGGCUUAUAAGUCAGUGGUGAAAUCUCCGAGCUUAACUUGGAAACUGCCGUUGAUACUAUAGGUCUUGAAUUAUCUGGAGGUAAGCGGAAUAUGUCAUGUAGCGGUGAAAUGCUUAGAUAUGACAUAGAACACCAAUUGCGAAGGUAGCUUACUACAUAUAAAUUGACGCUGAGGCACGAAAGCGUGGGGAUCAAACA
Molecule: ribosomal RNA, 420 nt
Filed under: uncultured bacterium
Lineage: Bacteria
Description: bacterial SSU rRNA
Rfam family: Bacterial small subunit ribosomal RNA
Source: RNAcentral